UUUCUUUUUCUCUGUAUCAAGAUAUGGGU
Molecule: non-coding RNA, 29 nt
Filed under: Rattus norvegicus (Norway rat)
Lineage: Eukaryota; Metazoa; Chordata; Mammalia; Rodentia; Muridae
Source: RNAcentral